This 1472-nucleotide long non-coding RNA is filed under the name Olea europaea subsp. europaea. The record is from RNAcentral. Lineage: Eukaryota; Viridiplantae; Streptophyta; Magnoliopsida; Lamiales; Oleaceae.
UUUAGAUUUAUAAUUUAAUUUUUUUUACAUAUGUUAUUUUUUAAUUUUUAAUUUUGGCAAACCGCAAACCCAAAAAAAUAAUUUGAAUUGGUUUGGUUUAGAAAUUGAAGUGAUUUGGUUGAUUUAAAAAAAAUUUCAAACCGCAUUAAACGAUUUGGUUUGAAAAUUUGUCACAAAUCGUUCAAAUCAUAUUGUGUUCACCCCUAUUGAUUACCAUUCAUUAGCUUUAAUUUCAGCGGAAGGUUAGAGAACCACUCCUCUGAUACACUAUUUUUUGACCACGCAUUUAAAAAAAAAAUAAAAUCAAAUUAUUGCUUUUCAUUUUUUUUUUUAUUAAUUUUUGGUCAAACAAGGGCGUAAUUAUUCCGUGUGGAAUGUAUCCAUGUUUGGCCAUUUAAGUAGUUAGAAUUUUGAAACUUUUUUCACGUUGUACUUUGUUUUUUCCUUCCUUUUUUGAUAAACGGCAUAUUCAUCUUUUUUUAGCUAUUAGGAGAAAUUUUUGACAUCCAGUAAACAUCAAUAGUUUGUUUAGCAUGCUAACUAGACUCGAUCAAUUAUCACAUCAGUUAACAAAUUGUCACAUACUCUUUUCAUUUAAUAAUGUCUAGUGCAAUGUAUACCAACCAUACUUUACAAAUGAUAUAUCGUCUUGCUCAAUCUUAUCCACUGUGCUCAUAAAUUUAGUUCUCAUACUGAUAGAUAACCGAAAAGAAAAAGGUGUACAUAACUAAUUACAAUUAUUUCAUCCUCUCAGCUGCAUUUUUUGAUAUUUCCCAUUAAUAUUUAAAUUUGUUACAUGAUGUUUUCCAUUAGUUUUUUGAUAUUUUCCAUAAAUAUUAAUUUGACGAUAUAAACUCAUAGUAAUUUGCUUGAUAUUCUAAAUAUAGUAGUAUUUAUAAAUGACUUUUAUAUCCGUAGCUCUGGUCAUUAUAACUGUUAUAUCACUUGUAGUCCUACUUCCUAACUAAAAUAAAAGAGGCAUUUGCUGUGGCACUGUUUUUAUGGAGUCGUGCUUAGUUAUUGUUUGCCUUUUUUUAAACGUUGUACUAUUUUAUUAACUUUCACAAACAACCAUCAUUUUCGUUUCUCUUUCUUCUCUUUAUUGACUUUCACAUGCAACCAUCAUUCCAUUUCUCUUUCUUCUCUCGUCUUUUUUUAUUUUUUCAGACAACUAUCCACGCUCCUUACUCCACUUCUCCACACAAACCAAGAUUUUUUUUUCUUCUUUCUCUCCUCUCCAUUUUAAGAAUUUUCUAAUAAAAAAUUAAUUAGUCAUUUUUUNCCAACUCUAAAACUCAUUAAGUAACAACAAAGACAAAACUUGACUAAUUAUCAUCAUAUCUUUUCUACCCAUGUUAGUUCAUGGUUUGUUAAGUAAAGUCAUAAUUUAUCAUUAGUUCUGCAGUUUGAUUCUACCGCAUUUUAGAUCUGUCUUUAAUUCUAUAUUUAAUAUCUAUAUAUGUAGAAUUCAC